Molecule: RNA transcript, 4384 nt
Organism: Andrographis paniculata
Lineage: Eukaryota; Viridiplantae; Streptophyta; Magnoliopsida; Lamiales; Acanthaceae
Gene name: RNA-dependent RNA polymerase 6
Exons: 5
Source: RefSeq, a predicted model, not a curated record
AAACUAUAUUCUUGCAUUGGUGACCGUUAGACCGGUGAGGGCAGGUUCAUAUACACUGGAGUAGUUUCUCUAAAGGAAAAUACAAAACGUUGAACCGGCGGUUCGAACCGCCGGUUCGAAACAGAUUGGGCAAGUACAGUACAAUUGGAAACAAGUCUUCUCUUUUCCGCGUGAUCCCUUCCCCUUCCUCUUUACACUCUCCCUUCACUCUCUGAUCGUUCUCCGACACGACCUCUCUUCUCGCCCUUCUCCUCCGCCGACUUCACACGAGCGAUUCAGUCCAAGAUUCCGAAAAAAUUUGAAGUUAAAUAGCAUCGUGGAUCUUUGAAAAUCGGUGUUGGAUUGGACAUGGGUGAUAGGGAUUUGGUAGUUACUCAAAUUAGUGUUGGUGGGCUGGAAAAUCAUGUCACGGCCAAGAUUCUUUCGGACUAUUUUGAAGAUAAUAUUGGAUUGGUAUGGCGGUGCCGAUUGAAGACUUCGUCAACGCCUCCAGAAUCAUACCCAAAUUAUGAGACUGAUCCGGAGAUUCUGCAGAGAAAGAAUGAUUACGUGAAGGUUGAACCCCAUGCAUUUGUUCAUUUUGCAGUUGCAAGUUCGGCAAAAUUAGCAGUAGAUGCUGCAGGUCAUGGUAGACUUAUAUUGGGAAGAAAGCCAUUGAAGGUUAGCUUGGGGCCACAAAAUCCUCACAGGAUGAAUGAGUGGAGAAGAACUACAGCACCUUAUAAGUUCUCAGAUGUCCUCGUAGAGAUUGGAGUUUUGAGGAGUCAAAAAGAGUUUUUGGUUGGUUGGAGGGGGGCUCAUAGCGGGGUUGAUUUUCUUGUUGAUCGAUUUAAUGGAACAUGCAAACUACAUUUUACAAAGGAUACUGCUUUCACCUUUAAAAGUGGAGCAAGACCAGCUGUAAUAAAGUGUGAUUUCAAGUUGGAGUUCUUGCCAAGAGAAAUAAUUGGAAUUAAACAUUACAAAAGCUAUUCAUCUUUGAUAGUACUAUUGCAGCUGGCUUCUUCACCAUUGAUUUACUAUAGAACUGCAGAUGAUGAUAUUGAUGUAUCCGUGCCUUUUGAUUUGUUGGAUGAUGAUGAUCCAUGGAUACGAACAACUGAUUUCACACCCAGUGGGGCAAUUGGUAGGUGCAACACUUAUCGAAUUUCAAUUAGACCUCGGAAUGGUUCACAUCUCUUGAAGGCCUUGGAUUAUCUUCGAGAAAGGAGGGUACCAGUUGUUGAUGAAGGUUCUGGAAUGAAGCUUCAGGUGGAGGAUGAGCCUGAUUUUGGGUUGCCCAUGCCGGAUCCCUUUUUCUGUAUACAGUACAAGGCUGACAUAUCCUUUGAGAUUCUAUUUUUGGUGAAUGCUCUCGUGCACAAGGGGAUAAUCAAUCAGCAUCAGUUGUCUGAAGAGUUUUAUGAUGUGUUGAGGAAUCAAGCUGAGGAACUCAAUGCAGUUGUGCUUAAGCACAUGUGUUCCUAUAAGCGUCCUGCUUAUGAUGCUCUCAAAACCUUGGAUCUCCUAAAAACGUGGCUUUUAAACAAUCCUAAGAUCCUUGAGAGAUCUCGGGAGAUGAAUGAUAUUGCUGAGGUUCGAAGAUUGAUCAUAACUCCAUCAAAAGCAUACUGCCUUCCGCCUGAGGUGGAACUUUCCAAUAGGGUUCUAAGAAAUUACAAACACAUGGCUGAUCGGUUCCUAAGAGUCACUUUCAUGGAUGAAGCUAUGCAGACCCUAAAUAAAAAUGUUCUUGAAUAUUAUCCUAGUCCCAUUGUGAGGGACAUUACCAGAAACACAGCUCCCCAAAAGACCACUAUGUUCAAGCGGGUAAAGGACAUAUUAGUUAAUGGAUUUUAUUUGUGUGGUCGGAGGUAUUCUUUUCUAGCAUUUUCAGCAAAUCAACUCCGGGACCGCUCAGCUUGGUUUUUUGCUGAAAACAAGAACACUGGGGUGGCCAACAUCAAGAGCUGGAUGGGAAAGUUUACACAACGGAAUGUUGCAAAGUGUGCUGCCAGGAUGGGCCAAUGCUUUUCUUCUACUUAUGCUACGAUUGAAGUACCAUGCAAAAAAGUCAAUUCUAUGCUGGGUGAUGUUGAGAGAAAUGGCUAUGUUUUCUCUGACGGUAUUGGUAUGAUAUCAGACAAUCUGGCAUCAGAAGUUGCUGAGAAACUGCAGUUGGGCACUAAGUCUCCAUGUGCUUACCAAAUAAGAUAUGCAGGCUACAAAGGUGUGGUUGCACGUUGGCCACAGAAAAAUGAUGCAUUCCACUUAUUCCUAAGACCGAGUAUGAAGAAGUUUGAUUCAGAUCACACAAUGCUUGAGAUUUGUUCUUGGACUCGGUUCCAGCCGGGUUUUCUAAAUCGACAGAUAAUUACACUACUCUCAGCUUUGGAAGUUCCGGAUGAUAUUUUCUCAAGGAUGCAAGAUACUAUGGUUAUGAGACUUGAUGAGAUGCUUGAGGACACAGAUAUUGCCUUUGAUGUUGUUACUGCUUCAUGUACUGAUCAAGGGGAUACAGCAGCAAUAAUGUUAAGUGCUGGUUUCAGUCCUCGGGUUGAGCCUCAUUUGCGGGGGAUGCUGACAAGCAUCAGAGUUGCUCAGCUUGGAGACCUCAGAGAAAGAGCUAGAAUAUUUGUUCCCUCAGGAAGGUGGCUGAUGGGAUGCUUGGACGAGGCUGCUGUACUUGAACAAGGCCAAUGCUUCAUCCAGGUUUCGAACCCUUGUUUGGAAGAUUGUUUUGUGAAGCAUGGAUCACAGUUUUCUGAGACAAAGAAAAACCUUCAAGUUGUCAAAGGCCUUGUAGCAAUUGCUAAGAACCCUUGUCUUCACCCUGGCGACGUUCGGAUUUUGGAGGCAAUUGAUGUCCCACAGCUGCAUCAUCUCUAUGAUUGUCUUGUGUUUCCUCAGAAGGGUGAUAGACCCCAUACGAAUGAAGCUUCUGGGAGUGACCUUGAUGGUGAUCUCUAUUUUGUUACUUGGGAUGACAAUCUCAUUCCCCCUAGCAAGAGAAGUUGGCCUCCCAUGGAAUAUGCACCUGGAGAAGUCAAACAGCUCUCGCGUGAAGUUCGACACUCGGAUAUAAUUGAGUUUUUCACAAAGAACAUGGUGAAUGAAAGUCUGGGUGCUAUCUGCAAUGCUCAUGUUGUUCAUGCCGACCUUAGUGAGUAUGGAGCGUUGGAUGAGAAAUGCAUCAAACUGGCAGAGCUUGCAGCCACAGCUGUUGAUUUCCCCAAGACUGGAAAAGUUGUAACCAUGCCUGGCGAACUCAAGCCUAAGAGUUACCCAGAUUUUAUGGGUAAAGAAGAGUUCCAGACAUACAAGUCGGGUAAAAUUCUUGGUAAGCUUUACCGGAAAAUUAGGGACUUGUAUGGAAGAGACUGCUGCGAAGCCGAGGAUACGAUACAUGAAAGGGACACCGUUGUGUAUGAUGAAGAACUUGAGAUUGCUGGGGCUGAAAACUUUAUAACCGAUGCAUGGAAUUGCAAGCUAUCGUAUGAUGGACAGUUAAUUGGUCUUUUAGGCCAAUAUAAGGUGCAUGGUGAGGCGGAAGUUGUUACUGGGCAUAUAUGGUCAAUGCCCAAAUAUAGUGGCAAGAAAAGGGGGGAGUUGAAGGAGAGAUUGAAGCAUGCAUAUAGCACCCUGAGAAAGGAGUUCAGGAAAGUAUUUGAGCGGAUGGGCCCUGAAUUCGAUGAGCUCUCAGAUGAUGAAAAAAAUGUGAUGUAUGAGAGGAAGGCGUCUGCCUGGUACCAGGUGACCUAUCAUGAGAUGUGGGUGAAGAAGUCGAAGCAGGUGCUGAUGGUAGAAGGUGGUGGGUCGGUGAUGUUGAGCUUUGCUUGGAUUGCUGCUGAUUAUCUGGCUCGGAUUAAAAUCAAGCACAAGAGGAUGGAAAACUCGAAGAAGAAGAAGAGUUUGUGGGUGUCGGACAAGCCUGUGGAUGCUCUGGCAAGGUAUCUGGCAGAUAAAAUCUGAGAUGAGGUGAGAUCCUUUUUCUUUUUUUUGUAAUCUGAGAUGAGAUGAAGAAAUCGCAGUCAUGUGCAUUCGGGUUGUUUUUGUUUGAGGUGGGGAUUGAUUAUUGAGUGAAAUUUGCAGUUAUUUUGAGCUUUGGUUUAUGUUGGAAGUUAAUGAAUAGUACAAUGUCGAGAAUUGGUUAUUUGAUGCUCUGAUGUAGUUGAUGAUAUGAAGAAAUCGCAGUCGUGUGCAUUCUGGUUGUCUUUGUUUGAGUUGACGAUAUGAAGAAAUUGCAGUCGUGUGCAUUCAGGUUGCCUUUGUUUGAGGAAUAUGGCUCUCAUUAGCGGAGGAGGAGAUCAUCCCUGACCCUGGUUUUUCUGGUUCUACAAUAUAUUUGUAUCAGUCGGGAAACUUACUUUUGAACUUCACCAAUUCAUAACCAUAAUAGAAUGUA